This 728-nucleotide long non-coding RNA is filed under the name Physcomitrium patens. RNAcentral's name for it is "long non-coding RNA (PPAT_LNC004598)". The record is from RNAcentral. Lineage: Eukaryota; Viridiplantae; Streptophyta; Bryopsida; Funariales; Funariaceae.
UUGCAUCAAAUAAAAAUUUAAUAUUGGUUGAAAUAGUACCUACAAUUGAUUUAGAAAAACUUUGUAAAACCAACUUCUAAAUUAGUUUUUAUACUAUAACAACUUGAUGGAAUUAUGUUGUAUGAGUCUAAUUUUGUAGGCAAAUCUAAGUCUAUGCAAGAAAAUGACAUCUUAAUAUAAUUUUUGUUAAUCAUGUCUCUUGAUACUUCAUAUUUAGAUUCUACUCCUAUCCUUUUGUUCAAUAAUCUUAAUAACUCCAUUUCAUUGUUAUCUUCUUUUCCUUGCAAGGAGAAUCAAUUCAUCACAUGACUUGUAUUAGAUAGAUAUUUAAGCUCAAAGAAAACAAAUGAGUAAUUUACUAUAUAUAUAUAUAUAUAUAUAUAUGAUAAAAAUUUAAUGAUUGCUCAGAUAUUAUAUAUAUAUAUAUAUAUAUAUAUAUAUAUAUAUGUACAUAUACAUAUAAGUUUAGACCAAGAGACUUGUAGAAAUACGUGUAAUCAACAAUAAUUAAUUUUGAAUUUUUCAUAUAUAAUUGGAAGAUGUCACAACAAAAAAAAAUUGUGCACAAAAAAAUUAAACAAAAUUUUAAAUUUGCCAUGUAUGGUGGAUCUCAAGUACAAUCCAAAAAAGGACUCCAUGGGAUAAGAGGAAUCCCAUUCAUUCAUUUGUCCAAAAGUCGUGUUUAAAAUGCCACAAAUUAGGGUUUAAAUACCGUCUCCUUCUCCUUU